This 254-nucleotide ribosomal RNA is filed under the name uncultured bacterium. Its description in RNAcentral is "partial 16S ribosomal RNA". It matches the Rfam family "Bacterial small subunit ribosomal RNA", at positions 524 to 776 of the family's 1533-position model. The record is from RNAcentral.
UACGGAGGGGGCAAGCGUUGUUCGGAAUUACUGGGCGUAAAGGGCGCGCAGGCGGCUGCUCAAGUCAGGCGUGAAAGGCCUGGGCUCAACCCGGGAAUUGCGCUUGAGACUGGGCUGGCUUGAGUGCGGGAGAGGAUGGUGGAAUUCCCAGUGUAGAGGUGAAAUUCGUAGAUAUUCGCAAGAACACCAGUGGCGAAGGCGGCUUACUGGUCCGGUUCUGACGCUGAGGCGCGAAAGCGUGGGGAGCAAACAGG